Molecule: ribosomal RNA, 116 nt
Filed under: Vibrio alginolyticus
Lineage: Bacteria; Pseudomonadati; Pseudomonadota; Gammaproteobacteria; Vibrionales; Vibrionaceae
Source: RNAcentral
AAUAGCGCCGAUGGUAGUGUGGGGCUUCUGAUUUCCAUGCCGAACUCAGAAGUGAAACGAAAUAGCGCCGAUGGUAGUGUGGGGCUUCCCCAUGUGAGAGUAGGACAUCGCCAGGC